Molecule: ribosomal RNA, 436 nt
Filed under: uncultured Leptolinea sp.
Lineage: Bacteria; Bacillati; Chloroflexota; Anaerolineae; Anaerolineales; Anaerolineaceae
Description: bacterial SSU rRNA
Rfam family: Bacterial small subunit ribosomal RNA
Source: RNAcentral
GCAGCGGAGCGUGUGGUUUAAUUCGAUGCUACACGAGAACCUUACCAGGUUUGACAUGCAAGUGGUAGGAACCGAAAGGCGACCGACCCUUCGGGGAGCUUGCACAGGUGCUGCAUGGCUGUCGUCAGCUCGUGUCGUGAGAUGUUCGGUUAAGUCCGCUAACGAGCGCAACCCUCGCUGUGUGUUACAAGUGUCACACGGUACUGCCGGUCUUAAGCCGGAGGAAGUGGGGAUGACGUCAAGUCAGCAUGGCCUUUAUGUCCUGGGCUACACACACGCUACAAUGGCCAACACAAUAGGUUGCUAAGCCGCGAGGUGGAGCCAAUCCUCAAAGUUGGUCUCAGUUCAGAUUGCAGGCUGCAACCCGCCUGCAUGAAGAUGGAGUUGCUAGUAACCGCAGGUCAGCUAUACUGCGGUGAAUACGUUCCCGGGGCUU